UGUCUCAGGACCUCGAAUGAUCCAGAACC
Molecule: non-coding RNA, 29 nt
Filed under: Rattus norvegicus (Norway rat)
Lineage: Eukaryota; Metazoa; Chordata; Mammalia; Rodentia; Muridae
Source: RNAcentral